Apteryx owenii (little spotted kiwi) is the source of this 1756-nucleotide long non-coding RNA. Lineage: Eukaryota; Metazoa; Chordata; Aves; Apterygiformes; Apterygidae. The record is from Ensembl.
AUGCUUGCCUUUGAACAGCCUGAUAGCAUGCUUGAACUUGUUAACUUCAGAUGUGGUGCUUUCGGGGUAGCCAUUAUCCUGACAUCAGAAGUACCUGGCGCUGAGGUUGCAAGAACAUGUCCACUUUUGCCUUCUGUUAGCUGGCACUGCGCAGCAUAUACAAUACCACAUGGUCCAGCAGCUCAGGAAGAUGACGACUUUACACUGGAUGAACACUGCAGAAAGGGAUGCCUUGUUACAGUGAUUCUUCAUCAUAUGCAAGGGGCUAGUUCUGUGAUCAGGAAGGAGUUCCUCAACCUGGUUCAGACUGGCAUCAGAGUGGUGAGUUUGCUGUUUCCUGGAACACACACAGACAUCCUGUUCGGUCAUGGGCAAUUACAACUCCUUAAUUCUGAGCAGAAACCCAGGCAUUGCUUAGACUUUGACCUUUUUCCCCACAAGUUUCUACCGUCUUAGUUUUUUUAGUUUCUACAGUUAUAGUGCAGUUUUUCCCAUGACAGAGAGAGAAACUUGUCUUGUCACAUUUCCAGUUGAGCUAGAGCUGUCAGAGCUGUAAUUUUGAUUUUGUCCACAAAGAAAUGUAAAAAUUUUGUAAAGCACAGAAUUCCUAUUGUGCUACCAUGUGAAUUUACCACUUAACACCUCAGAUCUGUUCCGUCCCUUUAACUUGCACAGCUGGGCUGAUGGUGAAGCCAGACUUCUGGAACCUGCAGCACUGUACAAUUUCCUGGGCUCCAUUUUAUUAAAGGAAAAUGAAAGGUGUGGGGAAGGCAUCUUUGAGAGAGCUCAUCUGACACUAGCAUGAUGCAAACACCAGUGAAGUUAAGAUCUAGUUAGGAGGGGAGCUGUCUGUCUGCAUCAAAGUGUCAGUCAAGACUCCUUGAAGGGACAGAGGCUGUUUCUCUUUUCAGAAAUUUUUUUAAUGCUGCUUUUUCUCCUUUUCCUCACUCUUCUUUUCUUAUUUGAACUUAGAUCCAGGUACAUGAAAACAGGCCUUGGUGCCUUGUUUUGAAGCUAAUUGUGGAAAUUUUUUCUAACUUCACACUUGGCCUCUGUGAAAGUCAAGAUCUUGUAGGCUGCUGUAACUGCAUCAUACUCAAGUGGAAUAGGAGUCUGUUCAUGUAAAUAGGUAAUAGGUGCUACUUACUGUUCUCUUCUGUAUCUGCAAGUUGGUGAGUUUUCUGCAGAGUUCAACUGUAGAAACCAAACAAGCCGCUUUGAAGCAGAAGCAAAUUACUUUUAGCAAUGUGAGCAGAAAAUCUAAUAGCCACGCACAUGUAGUGUUGUUUUAUGUAUGUGCCAGUUCAGUGCCAUACGCUGAUAGUUUUUUUCAUGCUCCUUCCCAGGCCCAUCUUUUAGUCUUGCUGUUGUGAUCUCUGUCCACCAGCUUUACGGGGGUUACUCUGCAGUUUCCUUAGCAUAAUUUCAACCUACUGCUUAAGGAAAGUCCCUGUUCUGCAAGCUGCUGAGCAGCUAUUUUGAGUGGAAACUGACAGGACUCUCUACCUCAUAGCACUGUUUUCCACCUUUGCUAAAUUCAAAAGUGAUUUCAUAAGCUUGUCUUCUAUUCCUACUACUGAGAAAUAAGGCAACCAAGUGAUACAGAAACUACUGGGAUGAAAAAUGCCAUAGCCCCCUUCAAGGACAACUGAGAUGAAUCUAGAGCACAUUUUACAGAUAAGGUAGUACAGAUAAGGAUGACAUUUCAUGUGCUCUGGAUUGCAAAUAAACUGUCUACUCUCAUGUUUAAAUGACA